This 484-nucleotide ribosomal RNA is filed under the name uncultured bacterium. RNAcentral describes it as "partial 16S ribosomal RNA". It matches the Rfam family "Bacterial small subunit ribosomal RNA", at positions 30 to 507 of the family's 1533-position model. The record is from RNAcentral.
AUUGAACGCUGGCGGCAGGCCUAACACAUGCAAGUCGAGCGGAUGAAGGGAGCUUGCUCCUGGAUUCAGCGGCGGACGGGUGAGUAAUGCCUAGGAAUCUGCCUGGUAGUGGGGGAUAACGUCCGGAAACGGGCGCUAAUACCGCAUACGUCCUGAGGGAGAAAGUGGGGGAUCUUCGGACCUCACGCUAUCGGAUGAGCCUAGGUCGGAUUGGCUAGUUGGUGGGGUAAAGGCCUACCAAGGCGACGAUCCGUAACUGGUCUGAGAGGAUGAUCAGUCACACUGGAACUGAGACACGGUCCAGACUCCUACGGGAGGCAGCAGUGGGGAAUAUUGGACAAUGGGCGAAAGCCUGAUCCAGCCAUGCCGCGUGUGUGAAGAAGGUCUUCGGAUUGUAAAGCACUUUAAGUUGGGAGGAAGGGCAGUAAGUUAAUACCUUGCUGUUUUGACGUUACCAACAGAAUAAGCACCGGCUAACUUCGUG